GCGUAGCCGUAAACCUUGAUAAUAACUUACCCCCACAUCCGCCCGGGUACUACAAGUACCAACUUGAAACCCAAAGGACUUGGCGGUGCUUUAGACCCCCCUAGAGGAGCCUGUUCUAGAACUGAUAAUCCCCGUUAAACCUCACCCUCCCUUGUCAUUCCCGCCUAUAUACCGCCGUCGUCAGCUUACCCUGUGAGGGUCUUAUCGUGAGCACAACUGGCACAGCCUUAAACGUCAGGUCGAGGUGUAGUAGAUGGGAGGGGAAGAAAUGGGCUACAUUCGUCUACUGACGAACAACGAAUGAUCUAUUGAAAACAUUUAUCUAAAGGAGGAUUUAGCAGUAAAAAGGAAAUAGAGUGUCCUUUUGAAACUGGCCCUGAAGCGCGC
Molecule: ribosomal RNA, 387 nt
Filed under: Solegnathus spinosissimus (spiny pipehorse)
Lineage: Eukaryota; Metazoa; Chordata; Actinopteri; Syngnathiformes; Syngnathidae
Description: partial 12S ribosomal RNA
Rfam family: Bacterial small subunit ribosomal RNA
Source: RNAcentral